RNAcentral lists this ribosomal RNA (253 nucleotides) under uncultured bacterium. RNAcentral describes it as "partial 16S ribosomal RNA". It matches the Rfam family "Bacterial small subunit ribosomal RNA", at positions 524 to 776 of the family's 1533-position model. The record is from RNAcentral.
UACAGAGGCUCCGAGCAUUACCCGGAAUCAUUGGGCGUAAAGAGUGCGUAGGUGGUCAUAUUAGUCGUUCGUUAAAACCCGGGGCCCAACCCCGGAGCUGCGAGCGAAACGGUAUGACUCGAGGGUGUGAGAGGUGCAUGGAACUCAUGGUGUAGGGGUGAAAUCCGUUGAUAUCAUGGGGAACACCGAAAGCGAAGGCAGUGCACUGGCGCAUUCCUGACACUCAAGCACGAAAGCGUGGGUAGCGAACGGG